UGGAUUUCCAGGUGCUUGCAUCUUUACAGCCCAACAGUCCACUUGAGACACUGAUCUGUGUGAGUGUCUGGCCUGGAGUUUAAUAAUACCCAAUCUAAAAUACAGUGGGAACUUCACCAGACUCCCAUGACUUCUCAAAUAUGUGGCUUAGCCACUUCAUCUGCCAGUUCCCUCAGGACUUGCAGAUGAAUCCCAUUUGGUUGCAUGGACUUGGGCACCUUAUGGAAUUCAAGAGGUACCUAACUAAAAUGAAUAUUUUUGAAGGAAUAGUGAAUGUGAAAAAGGCUAACUGAAUUGGCUCUUUGGUUAAAGAAAACUGUCUCCAUAGCUCACCUUCAGGCAGCAGACCCACAUUUACCUCUGCCUUGCUGCAAAUGAAGUAAGGAGUGUGGCUGAAUGAGGUAAGCACUGGACUACUGUGUUGCUCCUUGUCUUUUGCUCCUCCAUCCCAACUACUCCACCUCUUGUUACUAACUAAAUGUCUUUGCAUUGGAGGAAAAGUUCCAAGAUAGACUGCCAGCCCACCAGGCAACCAGCUCAGGUGGGAUGUGGGAGGCCAGGGUCCUAAGGCUGCUCCAGUGACAGUCUCGUGUAGCUGUUCUUCAGUGCAGGGGCUAUGAUUAGCCUCGCCUAGGCUUGAGCCUUCUGGCAGUGGUUUAGCAGCUGGACAAUGGCCAUCCAGGGACUUGGCUACACAAAGUAGUAUGUCCUGGCUGACUGCCCCUAUCUGAAGGCUAGUGUGGAACAGGCCAGCCUUGCUUGUGUAUGGAAAAACUUACACAGGGCUGGUUUCCUUUUGCUGCAGAGUGGGAAAAUUUGUGGAAUCUUAGUUAAAUUUGUGGGAUAGGAAAAAGGGAAAGCCAGCAAG
This is a long non-coding RNA of Neopsephotus bourkii (Bourke's parrot), 868 nucleotides long. RefSeq lists it as uncharacterized. Lineage: Eukaryota; Metazoa; Chordata; Aves; Psittaciformes; Psittacidae. The transcript is spliced from 3 exons. The record is from RefSeq and is a predicted model, not a curated record.